AUGGGGAGCUUGGGACUAGAAAGACUCAUGUGGAGGUCGAUGUUAGGCGACGUGAGCAAAGAGGAGCUCGUGUAUGUCCAGGUACAGCAGAAGUCGAGUCACGGAGGCGACGGCGGUGGAGAGGAGCUUGAGCUCCGGGAUGGCGCGCGGGCAUCGGAGUCGACGUCGAGCGGGGGGAGACACGGCAGAGGUCAAGGCCGGGGAUGGCGCGCCGGCAUGGGACUAUGGGAGAGUUCG
This 237-nucleotide long non-coding RNA is filed under the name Oryza sativa Indica Group (long-grained rice). RNAcentral's name for it is "lncRNA OsLaMu_03g0024160". The record is from RNAcentral. Lineage: Eukaryota; Viridiplantae; Streptophyta; Magnoliopsida; Poales; Poaceae.